Molecule: ribosomal RNA, 379 nt
Filed under: uncultured bacterium
Lineage: Bacteria
Description: bacterial SSU rRNA
Rfam family: Bacterial small subunit ribosomal RNA
Source: RNAcentral
UAAUACGUAGGGUGCAAGCGUUGUCCGGAUUUAUUGGGCGUAAAGAGCUCGUAGGCGGUUUAGCAAGUUGGGUGUGAAAACUCCAGGCUCAACCUGGAGAUGCCACCCAAGACUGCUAUGACUUGAGUCUGGUAGGGGAGCACGGAAUUCCUGGUGUAGCGGUGAAAUGCGCAGAUAUCAGGAGGAACACCGGUGGCGAAGGCGGUGCUCUGGGCCAGUACUGACGCUGAGGAGCGAAAGCGUGGGUAGCAAACAGGAUUAGAUACCCUGGUAGUCCACGCCGUAAACGUUGGGCACUAGGUGUGGGACCUUAUCAACGGGUUCCGUGCCGUAGCUAACGCAUUAAGUGCCCCGCCUGGGGAGUACGGCCGCAAGGCUA